CAGCACUGAUUAUAGCUCCCUAGAAGAAAUCUUCAAAUCCAGCCAAAGAUUUUUUAACGCUUCCCUCUCAGAUGCCCAUUGCAAGGCUGAAAGCUGGAUCUUCUUGUUCACUGCAGGUUCUCAAAAAGGAGGGGGAGAGGUGUGAGUGAAUGUCUCUGUGGGCUGAGCUGCUGCCAGGGUGAACCUACAACAUGACACAGCAGCUGAGACUUCCAGCUCACCCGAGGGAUCCUCCCAGUUGACUAGGAAAAGGAUGCCUUUGUGCCUUCAAAUGGGAGUUAACCAAGAACAGUUGAGGCA
Long non-coding RNA from Melospiza melodia melodia, 300 nucleotides. RefSeq lists it as uncharacterized. The transcript is spliced from 3 exons. Lineage: Eukaryota; Metazoa; Chordata; Aves; Passeriformes; Passerellidae. The record is from RefSeq and is a predicted model, not a curated record.